ACGACGGCAACGUCUACGUUGGCCGUACCGAAGACGAAGUGCGUCAGGAAAAUAACCUCGGCGCCGACAUUCAGCUUCGUCAGGACG
Molecule: transfer RNA, 87 nt
Filed under: Salmonella sp. FORC89
Lineage: Bacteria; Pseudomonadati; Pseudomonadota; Gammaproteobacteria; Enterobacterales; Enterobacteriaceae
Description: tRNA-Leu
Source: RNAcentral